RNAcentral lists this long non-coding RNA (216 nucleotides) under Gossypium raimondii (Peruvian cotton). Its description in RNAcentral is "long non-coding RNA (GRAI_LNC007095)". Lineage: Eukaryota; Viridiplantae; Streptophyta; Magnoliopsida; Malvales; Malvaceae. The record is from RNAcentral.
UUCUCUCCACCGAGCUCUGGUUUCCUAACGUCAGACUCAUUCAAUCCGUUGUCUGUACCCACUUAUGUCUACACGUGGAAAGAUCUUAUUCACUGCCGACACCUGUGCUUUUACUUACCGUCAGAUACGACGCUUUUUGUCAUGGAUUUAAUGGCCUGCGGAGUAUGUUGACCAUUCGUGCUUGCGUUCACACUUCACACCUUGAGUAGGUAAAGG